This 30-nucleotide non-coding RNA is filed under the name Mus musculus (house mouse). The record is from RNAcentral. Lineage: Eukaryota; Metazoa; Chordata; Mammalia; Rodentia; Muridae.
UCUAGUCUAGCCUUUACCCAGGUUGGCAUG